CCUACGGGAGGCUGCAGUAGGGGAUAUUGCACAAUGGGGGAAACCCUGAAGCAGCAACGCCGCGUGGAGGAUGAAGGUUUUCGGAUUGUAAACUCCUUUUGUUGGAGAAGAUAAUGACGGUAUCUAACGAAUAAGCACCGGCUAACUCCGUGCCAGCAGCCGCGGUAAUACGGAGGGUGCAAGCGUUAUUCGGAAUCACUGGGCGUAAAGAGCGCGUAGGCGGGUUAGCAAGUCAGAUGUGAAAGCCUAGGGCUUAACCAUAGAACUGCACUUGAAACUGUUAUUCUAGAGUAUGGGAGAGGCAGGUGGAAUUCUUGGUGUAGGGGUAAAAUCCGUAGAGAUCAAGAGGAAUACUCAUGGCGAAGGCGGCCUGCUAGGACUUAACUGACGCUGAGGCGCGAAAGCGUGGGUAGCAAACAGGAUUAGAUACCCUGGUAGUC
RNAcentral lists this ribosomal RNA (440 nucleotides) under uncultured bacterium. RNAcentral describes it as "partial 16S ribosomal RNA". It matches the Rfam family "Bacterial small subunit ribosomal RNA", at positions 338 to 795 of the family's 1533-position model. The record is from RNAcentral.